AUUACCGCGGCUGCUGGAUCUACCUUUUCGUGAUUGAUAACGUAGGGAAACUUACGCUAAUACCGCAACGACCUUAGGGUGAAAGCGGAGAACCUUCGGGCUUCGCGCAAUUAGAUGACGCCGAUGUCGGAUUAGCUAGUUGGCGGGGUAAAGGCCCACCAAGGCAACGAUCCGUAGCUGGUCUGAGAGGAUGAUCACUGCUGCCUCCCGUAGGAGU
Molecule: ribosomal RNA, 217 nt
Filed under: uncultured Xanthomonas sp.
Lineage: Bacteria; Pseudomonadati; Pseudomonadota; Gammaproteobacteria; Lysobacterales; Lysobacteraceae
Description: partial 16S ribosomal RNA
Rfam family: Bacterial small subunit ribosomal RNA
Source: RNAcentral